CACAUGCAAGUCGAGCGGUAAGGCCCUUCGGGGUACACGAGCGGCGAACGGGUGAGUAACACGUGGGUGAUCUGCCCUGCACUUCGGGAUAAGCCUGGGAAACUGGGUCUAAUACCGGAUAUGACCUUCGGCUGCAUGGCUGAGGGUGGAAAGGUUUACUGGUGCAGGAUGGGCCCGCGGCCUAUCAGCUUGUUGGUGGGGUAAUGGCCUACCAAGGCGACGACGGGUAGCCGACCUGAGAGGGUGACCGGCCACACUGGGACUGAGACACGGCCCAGACUCCUACGGGAGGCAGCAGUGGGGAAUAUUGCACAAUGGGCGAAAGCCUGAUGCAGCGACGCCGCGUGAGGGAUGACGGCCUUCGGUC
Molecule: ribosomal RNA, 367 nt
Filed under: Rhodococcus opacus
Lineage: Bacteria; Bacillati; Actinomycetota; Actinomycetes; Mycobacteriales; Nocardiaceae
Description: bacterial SSU rRNA
Rfam family: Bacterial small subunit ribosomal RNA
Source: RNAcentral